Molecule: non-coding RNA, 30 nt
Filed under: Rattus norvegicus (Norway rat)
Lineage: Eukaryota; Metazoa; Chordata; Mammalia; Rodentia; Muridae
Source: RNAcentral
UCAUUGGAUGAGAGAGAAGGAUGGGCGGGA